Onychostoma macrolepis is the source of this 1038-nucleotide long non-coding RNA. RefSeq lists it as uncharacterized. The record is from RefSeq and is a predicted model, not a curated record. The transcript is spliced from 2 exons. NCBI's taxonomy places the organism in Eukaryota, Metazoa, Chordata, Actinopteri, Cypriniformes, Cyprinidae.
GUUAUCCAUAGACGGGAUUGGGCGAGUGCCCUGGGGCACCAGCCAAUAAGGGGGCACCAAGUGAUUAAGAAAAUAACUAGACCUUUAAAAUAUUUUUAAUGUUUUGUAUAUAUUAUUUUGCUGGAAGAGUUGCAGAUGCAUAGAAAAUAAACAGUUAAUGAUCCAAUGUAUACAGAGAGAAUAUAAAAUAUAUGCAUGCAUAUAGAACUGCGAUUGGGUCAGGCCACAGUGUAAUUGCGCCCUCCCCCAGUCAGAGUUGAGCCCGCCAAUUUAUAAUAUUCAAUUCAUAAUGGAUAGGCAGCAUCAGCGUAGCAGUUGGGCUAAAUGUAAAUUAAAAAAUGAGAAAAUAUCAGGGCACAUAGCCAGGGCUCUACAAUGCGACUGAAAAGUACUGCGUGCAACUAUCAAAACAUACCCGAUCAGCAUUUGUGUUUGCGCUCAGGGGAGCUUCAAAGAUUUCUACUUGCGUGUUCGCGCAGCGAUGCGGAAGCUGCCUCGACGGGUCCUCAGACAAACAGGAAUGAGAAGAAGGAGCAGGAGCUUCAUUAUGGAGAAGUGACGUUCACCGACAGAAAGGUUCAACAGCAGCCGAGUAAAACACAGGAGGAGUGUGUGUACGCUCAGGUGCAGGCACACUAGUGUGAAAACCACCUGCGGUCAAUGCACUAGACUAGUGACUUCACACUUCACUGUCAUGAAGACACGACAGGACAGCUUUGGGCUGCUUAUGAUGAAAUGCUCGGCUUAUUGCACAUUUUCUUUCCUGUGUGGCAACAGAAAAAUACAGUGUCUGAUCCAGAACAGAAAUAUAAAAGGAUGAACAAUGGCCGACUUUCCAGUAAAGCCACUGAAGGGAAUCGUGACUGCUGUGAACAACUAAAGACUAGUACUAGCAGAGUACAGAAGCUGAAAACAUUACAAAUAACAUAAAAUAUUCACUUCUCAACUUUUAUUUAAGGUUUACAAUACACAUCAUAUUGGAACAACUGGUUUGUUAAACAAAGCUACGUCUCUUUAAUAGUAAAUCCAUUAAAAGGU